RNAcentral lists this ribosomal RNA (426 nucleotides) under uncultured Nitrosospira sp. Its description in RNAcentral is "bacterial SSU rRNA". It matches the Rfam family "Bacterial small subunit ribosomal RNA", at positions 207 to 622 of the family's 1533-position model. The record is from RNAcentral. Lineage: Bacteria; Pseudomonadati; Pseudomonadota; Betaproteobacteria; Nitrosomonadales; Nitrosomonadaceae.
CAAGACCUUGCGCUGAUUGAGCGGCCGAUAUCAGAUUAGCUAGUUGGUGAGGUAAAGGCUCACCAAGGCGACGAUCUGUAGCGGGUCUGAGAGGAUGAUCUGCCACACUGGAACUGAGACACGGUCCAGACUCCUACGGGAGGCAGCAGUGGGGAAUUUUGGACAAUGGGCGCAAGCCUGAUCCAGCCAUGCCGCGUGAGUGAACGAAGGCCUUCGGGUUGUAAAGCUCUUUCGGACCGGGAAGAAAUCGUAUGGGUUAAUACCCUGUGCGGAUGACGGUACCGGCAUAAGAAGCACCGGCUAACUACGUGCCAGCAGCCGCGGUAAUACGUAGGGUGCGAGCGUUAAUCGGAAUUACUGGGCGUAAAGCGUGCGCAGGCGGUUUUGUAAGACAGGCGUGAAAUCCCCGGGCUCAACCUGGGAACU